AUGACGACCGCAUCCCCCUCGCAGGUGCGCCAGAACUACCACCAGGACUCGGAGGCCGCCAUCAACCUCCAGAUCAACCUGGAGCUCUACGCCUCCUAUGUCUACCUGAUCAUGUCGUACUAUUUUGACCGUGAUGAUGUGGUUUUGAAGAACUUUGCCAAAUACUUUCUUCACCAAUCUCAUGAGGAGAGGGAACAUGCUGAGAGACUGAUGAAGCUGCAGAACCAGCGAGGCGGCCGAAUCUUCCUUCAGGAUAUCAAGAAACCAGACCGUGAUGACUGGGAGAAUGGGCUGACUGCAAUGGAAUGUGUGCUGUGCUUGGAGAGAAGUGUGAAUCAGUCACUACUGGAACUGCACAAACUGGCCACUGAAAAACAUGAUCCCCAUCUGUGUGAUUUCAUUGACUCAUUACCUAAAUGAGCAGGUGGAAGCCAUCAAAGAAUUGGGUGACCACAUAACCAACCUGCGCAAGAUGGGGGCCCCUGGAUCUGGCAUGGCAGAGUACCUCUUUGACAAGCACACCCUGGGACACAGUGAGAGCUAA
RNAcentral lists this long non-coding RNA (544 nucleotides) under Bos taurus (domestic cattle). Its description in RNAcentral is "long non-coding RNA NONBTAT021712". The record is from RNAcentral. Lineage: Eukaryota; Metazoa; Chordata; Mammalia; Artiodactyla; Bovidae.